RNAcentral lists this unclassified non-coding RNA (240 nucleotides) under uncultured fungus. RNAcentral describes it as "sequence contains ITS2". The stretch from base 1 to 52 matches the Rfam family "5.8S ribosomal RNA", at positions 103 to 154 of the family's 154-position model. The record is from RNAcentral. Lineage: Eukaryota; Fungi.
AACGCACAUUGCGCCCUCUGGUAUUCCGGGGGGCAUGCCUGUUCGAGCGUCAUUAUAACCACUCAAGCUCUCGCUUGGUAUUGGGGUUCGCGGUUUCGCGGCCCUUAAAAUCAGUGGCGGUGCCUAUCGGCUCUACGCGUAGUAAUACUCCUCGCGAUUGAGUCCGGUAGGUCUACUUGCCAGCAACCCGUAAUUUUUAAGGUUGACCUCGGAUCAGGUAGGGAUACCCGCUGAACUUAA